AUGUUGAAGUCUGCCCUAAGUUUUAUCCAUGAAAUAAGUAGAAUGCCUGGUAACUCUUGUGUCCCCAUAUGAUGGCACGUACCCAUUAUCAGUUGCCAACUUCAACAUGAUAAAAAACAUUACAAGAACAGAGGUCAGAGAGAUGAAAGAGAUAAGAAACACCCAUGAGCAAGCAAGAGCCUUAUACACAGAAAUACCAGAAAUAAUCCACACAAACAUUUCUUUUUGCCAAGACCUCUACAAAGUUGCAGCAAGGGAAGGGAGAACCUUAUGAAAUACAAAUUCAAAAGUCUAAUCA
This 298-nucleotide long non-coding RNA is filed under the name Populus trichocarpa (black cottonwood). RNAcentral describes it as "long non-coding RNA (PTRI_LNC003794)". Lineage: Eukaryota; Viridiplantae; Streptophyta; Magnoliopsida; Malpighiales; Salicaceae. The record is from RNAcentral.